AGGACAAUUGAGGUAGACGUCACUAAGUGCAGUUUUCCACAUAAAAUUGAUAAAGGUAAAAGGGCAAGCAACCGAGAAGCUAAAGACGAUACCACGAUCCAUCCCCGUGCAUUGUCUUUGUUUUAAUAGUUUAAUGUUUGCUAUCUUCCAAUAAAUGUACACAUCACAUCGAAUAAUUUUCAGGAUGCUUUAAUGGUUUCCUCAGCAAGUGUCCAUAACUAACAUUUAACCAGC
RNAcentral lists this long non-coding RNA (234 nucleotides) under Phaseolus vulgaris (common bean). RNAcentral describes it as "long non-coding RNA (PVUL_LNC001098)". The record is from RNAcentral. Lineage: Eukaryota; Viridiplantae; Streptophyta; Magnoliopsida; Fabales; Fabaceae.